Molecule: long non-coding RNA, 1654 nt
Organism: Eriocheir sinensis (Chinese mitten crab)
Lineage: Eukaryota; Metazoa; Arthropoda; Malacostraca; Decapoda; Varunidae
Exons: 3
Source: RefSeq, a predicted model, not a curated record
UUAGUGCAUGGCUUUCCCAGCAUUCCAGAGAGGCCGAGUCAUAAAAGUGGGCGGGGCAAAGUGACGUCACGGAGGUCGGCGGCGUCGGCCAAGGGGAGACACCGAUCAGCUGACUGCCCCCACGUGUGACCGACAGCCGGGGUUGGCACACUGAGAGGUCCCUUAUCGAUGCCCUGGGUGCCAUAGGAGGGGGACUCGAACCUUGGCCACCACACCACAACCACUCAACCACCUCCACCACCACCGCAGUACUUACCAGCGGACGCGGUGUGGUAGGGGUCGCCGCAUAUCGUAGCCGGCACAAAUUCGUAACCUACAGUGAAGUUGAACCCAGGCGUGGACCAGCUGUAGUGAGCCACGUGAUAAAUGAUGUCCACGGCGCCCUCCUCCGACUCCACGUGAAGCUCCAACGGCUCCUGAAGGGCUCUCUUUGCAGAUGAUGUGAGUGGGCGUGUAAGCCUCCAGAACGCGCGCACACACACACACACACACACACACACACACACACACACACACAGUUCAUGAGAAAAAAAAAAAUUAGAAGUGAAGAAUGAUGACAGUUGAGGAAACAUGGAAACAUGGACUAGCAGGCAGCAGAAAGCCUGUUGGCUCAUUACUAGGCUGCCUGCGUUCAGUGAUUUAAUCAAUCCGUUUGCCAUAGGAGUGGCUUGCAGGGAAGGAUUAAAGCACUUGUGUACCUACUCUUGGGAACGUUCAGUUCACACCCGUUGCAGCAAAGUGGCGAUCAAUGCGUUUCUUGAAGGAGUUGAUGGUUUCUGCGCUAACCACUUCUGCAGGAAGGCUGUUCCAGUGGCGAACAACUCUAUUCGAGAAAUAACUCCUGCCGAUGUCGGUAUUGCAUCGCUUUGCUUGAAUUGUUUUUCCGUUGUUUCUUGUUCUCAGGUUAGUUUGUAGCGUGAAGAGUUUGGAGUGAUCAACGUUGCUGAGCUUGUUCAGGUACUUAAAGACUUGUAUCAUGUCUCCCUGCAGUCGUCUCUUUUCCAACGUGAAGAGGUUGAGUCGCUCGAGUCGUUCUUCAUAGGGUUUCGUCCUCAGUGAUGGUAUCAUCUUCGUGGCGCGGCGCUGUACUCUCUCAAGUAAUUCAAUGUCUUUCCUGUAAUUAGGAGACCAGAAUUGCACGGCGUAUUCCAGGUGGGGCCUUACCAGCGAAUUAUACAAGGAUAACAUAACUCCCGGCGUCUUGUAUUCGAAGUUCCUCGAUAUGAACCCAAGCAUUGUAUUGGCUUUCUUACAGGCGGACUUGCAGUGUUUUGUUUGUUUCAAGUCACUGCUGAUGGUGACCCCGAGGUCUCUUUCCUCUUGCACAACAUGUAGUGGUUCGCCAUCCAUGUGGUAUAUGUGGUUGCUGUUUCUGGAUCCAAUAUGCAUUACUUUACAUUUGGUAGUGUUGAAGGACAUCUGCCAUUUUUCUGACCACCGAGUGAUCUGGUCCAGGCCUCUCUGGAUAAUUUCGCAGUCUGCCGUCGUGAGGGGCUUCCCGCCCACCUUGGUGUCGUCGGCAAAUUUUGAAAGAUUGGAUUUUAAUCCUAGUUCUAGGUCGUUGAUAUAUAUGAUGAAAAGUAUGGCUACUACUACUACUACGACUACUACUACUACUACUACGACUACUACUACUACUACUACGACUACUACU